AAGUCUUGAAUGGUUACAGCAUUGACAAAUUUGAGAAACUGAAGCCUAAGAUGAUACAAGCUGUUGAUGAUAUGCUUGGCUAUGAAAUCCCAGAGCUGUUGAAAAGUUUUAGGAAUCCUUAUGCAUAAAGUCCUAUCCUCCAGGACAUAUCUAGAAUCGAAAUAGAGCGGUGAGAUGAAGUUUGUUUGUUGCAAAAGUGCUAUGCUUAUGAUUCUUGAGUAAAUAUAUUUUAUGACAUUCUUGUUAAUAUACAUUUGGAGCUUUCUGUAUUUAGGGAUCUGCUUGGAUUUUAAGCAUGAUUGUCAGU
This 307-nucleotide long non-coding RNA is filed under the name Populus trichocarpa (black cottonwood). Its description in RNAcentral is "long non-coding RNA (PTRI_LNC002652)". The record is from RNAcentral. Lineage: Eukaryota; Viridiplantae; Streptophyta; Magnoliopsida; Malpighiales; Salicaceae.